This 424-nucleotide ribosomal RNA is filed under the name uncultured bacterium. RNAcentral's name for it is "partial 16S ribosomal RNA". It matches the Rfam family "Bacterial small subunit ribosomal RNA", at positions 359 to 775 of the family's 1533-position model. The record is from RNAcentral.
GAAUAUUGGUCAAUGGAGGGAACUCUGAACCAGCCAUGCCGCGUGUGUGAAGAAGGUCUUCGGAUUGUAAAGCACUAUAAGUUGGGAGGAAGGGCGGUAAGCGAAUACCUUGCUGUUUUGACGUUACCGACAGAAUAAGCACCGGCUAACUCUGUGCCAGCAGCCGCGGUAAUACAGAGGGUGCAAGCGUUUAACGGAAUUACUGGGCGUAAAGCGCGCGUAGGUGGUUCGUUAAGUUGGAUGUGAAAUCCCCGGGCUCAACCUGGGAACUGCAUCCAAAACUGGCCAGCUAGAGUAGGGCAGAGGGUGGUGGAAUUUCCUGUGUAGCGGUGAAAUGCGUAGAUAUAGUAAGGAACACCAGUGGCGAAGGCGACCACCUGGGCUCAUACUGACACUGAGGUGCGAAAGCGUGGGGAGCAAACAG